UGUUUAGAUUUUCAACCAGUGGUGUGAGUAGGAGUAGCUCUGUCUGUCACUGUGAAUUGGAGAGAGAGAGAGAGAGAUACCGAAACGAUGCCGUGCCUCAACCUCUCCACCAACGUUAACCUCGAAGGUGUCGACACCUCUUCCAUCCUAUCUGAAGCCACUUCCACCGUCGCAUCUAUCAUCGGAAAACCUGAAGCGUAUGUGAUGAUUGUACUGAAAGGAUCAGUACCCAUAUCUUUUGGUGGGACUGAGCAGCCAGCAGCUUAUGGAGAAUUGGUGUCCAUUGGUGGUCUUGGGCCUGAUGUGAACAAGAAGCUUAGUGCUGCAGUUGCUGCAAUUCUUGAGACCAAGUUGUCUGUGCCCAAGAAUCGAUUCUUCUUGAAAUUCUAUGACACCAAGGCGCAUCAGAGUCAAGAAUAUGCACAGUGUUUGCAUGCUUUACAUCAGCAAUAGGGCAUGUAAAUUAAUCCUUACUGUUCAAGACUGUUAGUUAGCUCCUUUUAAGAUGGUUCCAACUUUGGAUGGAACGGUUCUACAUUCUGAAUUCCGUGUUAGUUUGGUUAUGGUGCCUUGAAUGUUCGAUGGAGUGAGUCUUCAUAAUGUUUCACUUCUGCUUUUGUGUCUAUAUUUGAUGUUGAAACAUAAGUACUUGAGCAUUUCUGGUAACCUAAGCAAGUCAUGCAAAUCAACUUGAUUGAUUGUAUGGACAAAUGGGAAUUAUGUGUGUUUAUGGUUUCUUUUGGACAACAAUUAUUUAUCAAGAACCAUCUAAAUUGGAUAUUUGUAUUGAUGAUGCAUUGUGUUAAACAUGUUACCUAGAUGAAAUCAUUGUCUUUGUUGCUUACUAA
RNA transcript from Trifolium pratense (red clover), 848 nucleotides. It is a transcript of the gene named macrophage migration inhibitory factor homolog, with no coding region annotated. Lineage: Eukaryota; Viridiplantae; Streptophyta; Magnoliopsida; Fabales; Fabaceae. The record is from RefSeq and is a predicted model, not a curated record. The transcript has 4 exons.